Molecule: ribosomal RNA, 498 nt
Filed under: uncultured bacterium
Lineage: Bacteria
Description: partial 16S ribosomal RNA
Rfam family: Bacterial small subunit ribosomal RNA
Source: RNAcentral
AUUGAACGCUGGCGGCAUGCCUUACACAUGCAAGUCGAACGGUAACAGGUCUUCGGAUGCUGACGAGUGGCGAACGGGUGAGUAAUACAUCGGAACGUGCCCGAUCGUGGGGGAUAACGAGGCGAAAGCUUUGCUGAUACCGCAUACGAUCUACGGAUGAAAGCGGGGGAUCUUCGGACCUCGCGCGGACGGAGCGGCCGAUGGCAGAUUAGGUAGUUGGUGGGAUAAAAGCUUACCAAGCCGACGAUCUGGAGCUGGUCUGAGGGGAUGAUCAGCCACACUGGGACUGAGACACGGCCCAGACUCCUACGGGAGGCAGCAGUGGGGAAUUUUGGACAAUGGGCGAAAGCCUGAUCCAGCCAUGCCGCGUGCAGGAUGAAGGCCUUCGGGUUGUAAACUGCUUUUGUACGGAACGAAAAGCCUCUUUCUAAUAAAGAGGGGUCAUGACGGUACCGUAAGAAUAAGCACCGGCUAACUACGUGCCAGCCGCCGCCGUAA